Molecule: long non-coding RNA, 338 nt
Organism: Saccostrea cuccullata (small rock oyster)
Lineage: Eukaryota; Metazoa; Mollusca; Bivalvia; Ostreida; Ostreidae
Exons: 2
Source: RefSeq, a predicted model, not a curated record
AAUUUUACAUCCCUGGUAUUCACAUCUGAUCGGAUCGUAUAUUUUGAAGAUGAAGACUUUGUUGGCCUCGCUUCUGGCUGCUCUGUUAUUGACAGUCCUUGUCCCAGAUAUGACCUCUUCUCAAAUCAUCAGGGGACGCUGCUAUACCAUGGCCCAGUGUGAGCAAAAUAUGUCGUGUUUUCGGUACUGUAGAAUGCGGGGAUAUACUAUCGGAAAUUGUCAAUUGUCUCUAUCCUGUCCAGGACAAAAUAGAUACAAAUGCAUCUGCAGCACAGAAGACGUUGAAGAUAUGAUCAAUUAUCUGUGAAUAAAUCCUUAAUAAAACUAUAUAUUUAAAA